Molecule: ribosomal RNA, 201 nt
Filed under: Triticum aestivum (bread wheat)
Lineage: Eukaryota; Viridiplantae; Streptophyta; Magnoliopsida; Poales; Poaceae
Description: partial small subunit ribosomal RNA
Source: RNAcentral
AUGCUACAAACAGUCAAAUCUGAACCUUGUCGCUCUUCUUUCCUCAUGGAUAGGAAGCACAUUAGCAGCAUGUGUUGCAUGAUUCCACUGUGUUUUUUGCACUUGACUGGGUGGACAGUGGACCGGAAGAUAACUUUGAUUCGCCCGACCAGCAGGCGGGCGGCGUGCUUAUCUUGUGUGACAACACUACAUAGCGAGUAG